UGAGGAAUAUUGGUCAAUGGACGCAAGUCUGAACCAGCCAAGUAGCGUGCAGGAUGACGGCCCUAUGGGUUGUAAACCGCUUUUAUAUGGGGAUAAAGUGGGGAACGUGUUCCCUUUUGCAGGUACCAUAUGAAUAAGGACCGGCUAAUUCCGUGCCAGCAGCCGCGGUAAUACGGAAGGUUCGGGCGUUAUCCGGAUUUAUUGGGUUUAAAGGGAGCGUAGGCCGUUUGGUAAGCGUGUUGUGAAAUGUAGGAGCUCAACUUCUAGAUUGCAGCGCGAACUGUCAGACUUGAGUGCGCAGAACGUAGGCGGAAUUCAUGGUGUAGCGGUGAAAUGCUUAGAUAUCAUGAAGAACUCCGAUUGCGAAGGCAGCUUACGGGGGCGCAACUGACGCUGAAGCUCGAAGGUGCGGGUAUCGAACAGG
Molecule: ribosomal RNA, 424 nt
Filed under: Verrucomicrobiota bacterium
Lineage: Bacteria; Pseudomonadati; Verrucomicrobiota
Description: Verrucomicrobia bacterium partial 16S ribosomal RNA
Rfam family: Bacterial small subunit ribosomal RNA
Source: RNAcentral